CCAAUUUCGAAAGAUGAGAUGGGGCUAUCUCCCUUUUCAAUAAUGACAUCCCUGAUUACGUGGCAACCUGGGGUUGCAGGCUUGCCUCCCCCAAAUGGGUUACGUCCAAAAACAAAAAGCAACAAUCUAAGCGGCAACGCCGCGGCCUAUUUUUCCGUAACUCCUCGAAUUCCACUGCCGGCACCACUCACUCACUCCACACUCCACGCGUCCACCUCAGGUAUCUUUAUUGCCGAUUUUCCGGCGAAAUUAUAGCGAUUUUGGCUUGAAUUUUGCAGCAUGGCGCCGGAAGAAACAGUUUCCAAGUCACCUCUGGACAAACCGCUCCACCUACUUACCGAUGACGACAUUUCUCAGCUCACUCGCGAAGAUUGCCGCCGUUACCUUAAAGAGAAAGGAAUGAGAAGACCGUCAUGGAAUAAAUCACAGGCGAUUCAGCAGGUGAUUUCACUGAAGGCGCUUCUCGAGACGACGCCGGAUUCUGACACCGGCCCUCGGAGAAAACUUCACAUUCCUCGCCCAGACACUAGAGUACAACAAGUCCAGAAAGGAACGGAUACCGAUGCAGAAUUUUCGGAAUCGGCUGAAGGGACGGUGCCAUACGGAAGAAAACAUUCGAAAAAACCUGAUAUUCCCGGUGAAAUAGCUGCCGGUUCAGUUGCUGUUGCCGCCGGCAAUAACUUAGCUCCUUCUAGAACCACAGAUUUGGGAAACACACCAGCAAGUCAAUUGACAAUCUUCUAUUGUGGCAAGGUGAAUGUGUACGAUGAUGUGCCCGCUGAAAAGGCACGAGCAAUCAUGCAUCUCGCAGCAACUCCACUCUGCGUGCCUUCAGAAACUCCAUUGGGUGCUACCUUAGCAGCUCGACAUUCCGAAUGCCAUUUGCAAGCUUCAAGUGUUAAACUGGGUCCAGAUUCUGCUAUGGUGCUCAUGCCAACCAUGCAAACAGGGAAAAUGAGUGAAGUGACUCGCCUGCGUCCGGAGGAAAGCAAUACCUUCUAUGAAGACAACUCUGAAGCAGUGGAAGGCCACCCAAGCAGGAAAGCAUCAGUACAAAGAUAUCUUGAGAAGCGGAAAGACAGGUGAAGGUUCAAGAGCAAGAGAAAGAUAGGAAUGUCUUCGUCUGCUAGCUUGGACAUCUAUGUGAGCCAUCAAACUGGAAAUCAUACCCUUAAUGAGCUCUCAAGUAGGAGCAACACUUGUUCCCCUCCCACAAUUAGACUAUCUGCUGCACCUGCUCCAACUGGUAUAAUGGCUAACAAUAUCGAAAUGAAUGCCAGAGUUUCUGCUUUUCUCAAUGACAAAGAUGCCAAAGAGUGAAAACUGUAUGGCGGGGAACAGUAGCUGUCUAAUUUGCUUUCAUGCACCAGAAAGUCUGGGAGGUAACAUCUUUUCCAGCGUCCACAUAGUCGAAUGACGAGGAAACAGGGUGGGUUGUUCCUUGUGAAUCUGUGUCCAAAAGCACUUUGUAUUUAUGCUGUUGCCAUUUCUCAGGCAAACAUGAAGAGAAAACUAGUCGGGAAUAGUCAGUCCUCUGUGAUGCGAUGUUUUUGCUUUCAGAAUCUUCUGGAAAGCUUCUCCCUAAGAAUCCCACUUUAGGCAGGUGCAUUUUUGCUUUCAGGUGCAUUUUUCCUUUUGCUGGAAUUGGUUCUCAAGGAGCUAACGUGGAGCCCUGUAAUUAGUUUCUGUAACUUUCCACUCUAACAAAACAGUUAAUUGGCCGAACCCUGAAAGUACUUGGGUUACAAAGGCAAGUUCUCGUUUUAUUUGGACUGAUUCUUCGGAAAAUUUAAAUGGUCGACUUACUAAAAGGGUUUUAAGGUUGGUUAAUUAGUGGAGUAGUAGAUUCGUCAAAAGAUGCUACCCUAACAAGCCAUGAUUUCAACGAUUCAUGUUGCAGUAAGGCUAAAAUAUUAGGAUAAAUUUAUUAAUGCCGAUGAGGAAUACUUUGGUCCAUCAGGGACAUGUGGUUCACUAUGUUAAGAGGAAUUUCGGAUACCUCGAGACUGCAGUUUUUGAAGGCAUGUUAGAAGAACGUCUAAUGUUUAUGGUGUUCACCUUACUGAUAAAAGUUUUAAUUUUUAUUUAUAAGGAAGCAGCUAAUAUUUCAGCU
RNA transcript from Nicotiana attenuata, 2113 nucleotides. It is a transcript of the gene named protein TIFY 4B-like, with no coding region annotated. The record is from RefSeq and is a predicted model, not a curated record. The transcript has 9 exons. NCBI's taxonomy places the organism in Eukaryota, Viridiplantae, Streptophyta, Magnoliopsida, Solanales, Solanaceae.